Colias croceus (clouded yellow) is the source of this 467-nucleotide long non-coding RNA. RefSeq lists it as uncharacterized. NCBI's taxonomy places the organism in Eukaryota, Metazoa, Arthropoda, Insecta, Lepidoptera, Pieridae. The record is from RefSeq and is a predicted model, not a curated record. The transcript has 4 exons.
AAUGUGGAUAUUGCAUCAUUAACUGAAAUCCUUCCUACAUCAGACCCUAUUCACAAUCAACCUUCCUCAACAAAAUUAGCUGAAAUAGUGCCAGAUAAGUCUGGUGAAAUUGUUACUUACGAGAAAGUACCUAUUACUUGUUCCUGAUGUGGAUAAUGAAUCAAUCGGACAUUCUCCUUUGAGGCCAACAGUAACAGGUGAAAUUCAUACUUCAGAAACAGCAUUCCUUCCACCUGAAUCAUUAAAUGAGAGCUGUGUUGGAAUUAUAUCUUCUGAACACAAUUAUCAUCAGCUCCAGAAGAAGCCAAUAAAAGUUAAACAUCAGCAGUUGGAACCGCCGUCACUCUUGUUGAACCAACUAAAUACAACAAGAAGUAAAAUUAAGAGUUUGCAGUCAAAGCUGUUAAGAUCAUUAAAGCAAAACGAAAAGUUUGAAUCCAGACUAGCUGAUUCUGAAAAAAUGUCAA